RNAcentral lists this ribosomal RNA (398 nucleotides) under uncultured bacterium. RNAcentral's name for it is "partial 16S ribosomal RNA". It matches the Rfam family "Bacterial small subunit ribosomal RNA", at positions 523 to 918 of the family's 1533-position model. The record is from RNAcentral.
AUACGUAGGGUGCGAGCGUUGUCCGGAAUUACUGGGCGUAAAGAGCUCGUAGGUGGUUUGUCGCGUCGUCUGUGAAAUUCCGGGGCUUAACUCCGGGCGUGCAGGCGAUACGGGCAUAACUUGAGUACUGUAGGGGAGACUGGAAUUCCUGGUGUAGCGGUGAAAUGCGCAGAUAUCAGGAGGAACACCGGUGGCGAAGGCGGGUCUCUGGGCAGUAACUGACGCUGAGGAGCGAAAGCAUGGGUAGCGAACAGGAUUAGAUACCCUGGUGGUCCAUGCCGUAAACGGUGGGCGCUAGGUGUAGGGGUCUUCCACGACUUCUGUGCCGUAGCUAACGCAUUAAGCGCCCCGCCUGGGGAGUACGGCCGCAAGGCUAAAACUCAAAUGAAUUGACGGGG